GCGAUGAUCACCCCACGGUGCCGGUUGUACUCCGUGUCACCUGCCAUAUCUGUGCAGCCUUCCUUUCUGGUCGAUCCUGUGUGGAAAUUCUAAGACCUUUUAAUUGAUCAGUUUUGCCGCUCUCAAACUGCUUCCAAACUGCAGCAGAACAGACCAUCCUCCAACAUGUGUUUGUCCUGUGUGUCGCAUGGUUUGG
Molecule: long non-coding RNA, 196 nt
Organism: Branchiostoma belcheri (Belcher's lancelet)
Lineage: Eukaryota; Metazoa; Chordata; Leptocardii; Amphioxiformes; Branchiostomatidae
Exons: 3
Source: RefSeq, a predicted model, not a curated record